GAUGAACGCUGGCGGCGUGCCUAAUACAUGCGAGUCGAGCGAACAGACGAGGAGCUUGCUCCUUCGACGUUAGCGGCGGACGGGUGAGUAACACGUAGGUAACCUACCUAUAAGACUGGGAUAACUUCGGGAAACCGGAGCUAAUACCGGAUAAUAUUUCGAACCGCAUGGUUCGAUAGUGAAAGAUGGCUUUGCUAUCACUUAUAGAUGGACCUGCGCCGUAUUAGCUAGUUGGUAAGGUAACGGCUUACCAAGGCAACGAUCCGUAGCCGACCUGAGAGGGUGAUCGGCCACACUGGAACUGAGACACGGUCCAGACUCCUACGGGAGGCAGCAGUAGGGAAUAUUCCGCAAUGGGCGCAAGCCUGACGGAGCAACGCCGCGUGAGUGAUGAAGGUCUUCGGGUCGUAAAACUCUGUUAUUAGGGAAGAACAACAGUGUAAGUAACUGUGCACGUCUUGACGGUACCUAAUCAGAAAGCCACGGCUAACUACGUG
RNAcentral lists this ribosomal RNA (497 nucleotides) under uncultured bacterium. RNAcentral describes it as "partial 16S ribosomal RNA". It matches the Rfam family "Bacterial small subunit ribosomal RNA", at positions 28 to 507 of the family's 1533-position model. The record is from RNAcentral.